Molecule: ribosomal RNA, 460 nt
Filed under: uncultured bacterium
Lineage: Bacteria
Description: partial 16S ribosomal RNA
Rfam family: Bacterial small subunit ribosomal RNA
Source: RNAcentral
CCUACGGGAGGCUGCAGUGAGGAAUAUUGGUCAAUGGGCGCGAGCCUGAACCAGCCAAGUAGCGUGAAGGAUGACUGCCCUACGGGUUGUAACCUUCUUUUAUAAAGGAAUACAGUGAGUCACCUGUGCCUUUUUGUAUUUACUUUAUGAAUAAAGAACGGCUAACUCCGCGCCAGCAGCCGCGGUAAUACGGAGGAUCCGAGCGUUAUCCGGAUUUAUUGGGUUUAAAGGGAGCGUAGAUGGGUUGUUAAGUCAGGUGUGAAAGUUUGCGGCUCAACCGUACAAUUGCAAUUGAUACUGGCAGUCUUGAGUACAGUUGAGGUAGGUGGAAUUCGUGGUGUAGCGGUGAAAUGCUUAGAUAUCACGAAGAACUCCGAUUGCGAAGGCAGCUUACUAACCUGCCACUGACAUUGAUGCGCGAAAGUGUGGGUAGCAAACAGGAUUAGAUACCCCGGUAGUC